This 60-nucleotide ribosomal RNA is filed under the name Gymnopus dryophilus. RNAcentral's name for it is "partial 28S ribosomal RNA". Lineage: Eukaryota; Fungi; Basidiomycota; Agaricomycetes; Agaricales; Omphalotaceae. The record is from RNAcentral.
UUGACCUCAAAUCAGGUAGGACUACCCGCUGAACUUAAGCAUAUCAAUAAGCCGGAGGAA